RNAcentral lists this ribosomal RNA (406 nucleotides) under uncultured bacterium. Its description in RNAcentral is "partial 16S ribosomal RNA". It matches the Rfam family "Bacterial small subunit ribosomal RNA", at positions 30 to 526 of the family's 1533-position model. The record is from RNAcentral.
AUUGAACGCUGGCGGCAGGCCUAACAAAUGCAAGUCGAACGAGUGGCGGACGGGUGAGUAAUGUCUGGGAAACUGCCUGAUGGAGGGGGAUAACUACUGGAAACGGUAGCUAAUACCGCAUACCAUCAGAUGUGCCCAGAGGGGAUUAGCUUGUUGGUGGGGUAACGGCUCACCAAGGAGACGAUCCCUAGCUGGUCUGAGAGGAUGACCAGCCACACUGGAACUGAGACACGGCCCAGACUCCUACGGGAGGCAGCAUUAGGGAAUCUUCGGCAAUGGACGGAAGUCUGACCGAGCAACGCCGCGUGAGUGAAGAAGGUCUUCGGAUUGUAAAGCACUUUAAGUUGGGAGGCGUUACCAACAGAAUAAGCACCGGCUAACUUCGUGCCAGCCGCCGCGGUAAUUC